RNAcentral lists this small nuclear RNA (314 nucleotides) under Octodon degus (degu). RNAcentral's name for it is "7SK RNA (ENSODEG00000024376.1)". It matches the Rfam family "7SK RNA". From Rfam's summary of the family: 7SK was discovered as an abundant small nuclear RNA in the mid-70s but a possible function has only recently been suggested. Two independent studies have found that 7SK RNA binds the CDK9/cyclin T complex (known as elongation factor P-TEFb). The record is from RNAcentral. Lineage: Eukaryota; Metazoa; Chordata; Mammalia; Rodentia; Octodontidae.
GGAUGUGAGGGUGAUCUAGUUGCAAUAUCUGACACCCCACUGAUGGCCAGGGUUGAUUCCGCUGAUCUGGCUGGCCAGGCGGGUGUCCCCUUCCUCCCUCAAUGAUCCAUGUGCAUCCCUCCCGAAGCUGUGUGCUCAGUCGAAGAGGACGACCUUCCCCGAUAGAGGAGGACCAUUCCUAGGUCAAGGGUAUACGAGUAGCUGGGCUCCCCUGCUAGGACCUCCAAACAAGCUCUCAAAGAUAUUAGCAACACUUAUCCCAGUCUGUUAUGUAAAUCUGCAGGGACUGUUUAUUACCUUGUGCUGUCUCAUGU